RNAcentral lists this unclassified non-coding RNA (400 nucleotides) under uncultured Planctomycetia bacterium. RNAcentral's name for it is "contains 16S-23S intergenic spacer region". The record is from RNAcentral. Lineage: Bacteria; Pseudomonadati; Planctomycetota; Planctomycetia.
CCGUCAAUUCAUUUGAGUUUCAGCCUUGCGACCAUACUCCCCAGGCGGGGUACUUAACACUUUUGCUUCGACUGUGAACCCAUGAAAGUCCACAAUCUAGUACCCAUAGUUUAGGGCUAGGACUACCGGGGUAUCUAAUCCCGUUUGAUCCCCUAGCUUUCGCGCCUCAGCGUCAGAAGAGGUCCAGCACAUCGCUUUCGCCACUGGCGUUCCUUCAGAUAUCUACGCAUUUCACCGCUCCACCUGAAGUUCCACAUGCCCCUACCUCCCUCUAGACAAUCAGUAUCAAAGGCACUUCUCCAGUUAAGCUGGAGGAUUUCACCAUUGACUUGAUCACCCGCCUACGCGCCCUUUAAGCCCAGUGAUUCCGAAUAACGUUUGCACGGUUCGUCUUACCGCG